Molecule: small RNA, 520 nt
Filed under: Pongo abelii (Sumatran orangutan)
Lineage: Eukaryota; Metazoa; Chordata; Mammalia; Primates; Hominidae
Description: processed transcript
Source: RNAcentral
ACUUCACAUCUCGUGCCGCCCCGCCUCUCCUGGCUCCUCCGCCCAGAUCCCCGGCGCUCCCGCGUUCGGUGACGGCCGGGUAGGCUGUAGGCAGCGCAAUGCCAAGACAGAGCUGCUGGCGGCGGCAGGCGAAUCUCCCUGCACCAUGAGCCUCGGGUCCGGCCCCGUUUGGGGCCGAUAAGCACAGCGCACGCCGCCCUCCAUUUGCCCCGGGGCCUCGGCUGCGAAGAUAGCGGCGGCCGGACAGGAAGCCCGAGGAAAGCGCUGGGCCGCGUCUCUACAAACACGUGAAGGAAAAGCAGCUCCGUCCACAGCGCCGCUUCGGGGCUCCUAGGGAGUCGGGCGCCGGGCCGCCACCAUCACCUCUGCCGCUGCUGCUGCCGCCAUCGCCUUGUUCCCCCACCCCCGCCAUGGCCGAGGACCUCUCCGCGGCCACGUCCUACACCGAAGAUGAUUUCUACUGCCCCGUCUGUCAGGAGGUGCUCAAAACGCCCGUGCGGACCACGGCCUGUCAGCACGU